GCGCACAGAAAAAGCUCCGUGAGUGUGAACUUGUGAUCCUGAAUGAUCCUUUUCUUGGUAAACGACUUGAAGAUAAUUUUACGGUACCUUUGAGGGAUGAGUUUCUUGAAAACGCGAGGCUCUUCAUCUUUGAGACUUAUUGCCGCAUACAUCGCUGCAUUGAUAUCGGCAUGCUUGCUGAGAAGCUGAGCAUGAGCUACGACGAGGCAGAGAGGUGGAUCAUGAAUCUUGUUCGAAAUUCAAAGCUUGAAGCCAAGAUUGAUUCUGUGUCUGGAACUGUUAU
RNAcentral lists this unclassified non-coding RNA (283 nucleotides) under Hevea brasiliensis (rubber tree). The record is from RNAcentral. Lineage: Eukaryota; Viridiplantae; Streptophyta; Magnoliopsida; Malpighiales; Euphorbiaceae.